This 1202-nucleotide ribosomal RNA is filed under the name metagenome. RNAcentral describes it as "bacterial SSU rRNA". It matches the Rfam family "Bacterial small subunit ribosomal RNA", at positions 309 to 1498 of the family's 1533-position model. The record is from RNAcentral.
CACACUGGGACUGAGACACUGCCCAGACUCCUACGGGAGGCUGCAGUCGAGGAUCAUUCGCAAUGCGCGAAAGCGUGACGAUGCGACGCUGCGUGGAGGAUGAAGGCUUUCGGGUUGUAAACUCCUGUCAUGAGAGAACAAUGCCUCCGGUCCGAAUACGGCCGGAGGAAUGAUGGUAUCUCAAGAGGAAGUCACGGCUAACUCUGUGCCAGCAGCCGCGGUAAUACAGAGGUGGCUAACGUUGUUCGGAUUUACUGGGCGUAAAGGGUGCGUAGGUGGACGGGUAUGUUGGAUGUGAAAGCCCACGGCUUAACCGUGGAAUUGCAUUCAAAACUGCAAGUCUGGAGUGCAGAAGGGGAGAGCGGAAUUCUUGGUGUAGCGGUGAAAUGCGUUGAUAUCAAGAAGAACACCGGUGGCGAAGGCGGCUCUCUGGUCUGUAACUGACACUGAGGCACGAGAGCUAGGGGAGCAAACAGGAUUAGAUACCCUGGUAGUCCUAGCUGUAAACGUUGUGCACUUGGUGUGGGAGGAUUUGACCCCUCCCGUGCCGUAGCUAACGCGUUAAGUGCACCGCCUGGGGAGUACGGCCGCAAGGUUAAAACUCAAAGAAAUUGACGGGGGCCCGCACAAGCGGAGGAGCAUGUGGCUUAAUUCGAUGCAACGCGAAGAACCUUACCAGGGCUUGACAUGCAGCUGCAUGUUCGCUGAAAGGCGGACAGCCUUCGAGGGUGCUGCACAGGUGCUGCAUGGCUGUCGUCAGUUCGUGCCGUGAGGUGUUGGGUUAAGUCCCGCAACGAACGCAACCCCUGUGUCUAGUUGCUACCGGGUAAAGCCGGGCACUCUAGACAGACUGCCUGUACAAGCAGGAGGAAGGUGGGGAUGUCGUCAAGUCAGUAUGGCCCUUACGCCCUGGGCUGCACACGUGCUACAAUGGCUGGUACAAUUCGGAUGCGAAGCCGCGAGGUGGAGCAAAUCCAGAAAGCCAGCCCCAGUUCAGAUUGCAGUCUGCAACUCGACUGCAUGAAGUUGGAUUCGCUAGUAACGGCGCAUCAGCUACGGCGCCGUGAAUACGUUCCCGGGCCUUGUACACACCGCCCGUCACAUCAUGAAAGCUGUCUGCACCCGAAGUCGUUGAUCCAACCCGCAAGGGAGGUAGAUGCCGAAGGUGUGGGUAGUGAUUGGGAUGAAGUCGGAACAAGGUA